RNAcentral lists this small RNA (504 nucleotides) under Pan troglodytes (chimpanzee). RNAcentral describes it as "processed transcript". Lineage: Eukaryota; Metazoa; Chordata; Mammalia; Primates; Hominidae. The record is from RNAcentral.
AAUGUGGAAGGUUGUUGUUAUUUUGCUCUACUUUGGUUCUAGAAGGAUACAGGAAAUAAAAGGGAAACCAGAGUGAACACAGAGGUUAAGAUUCUUCUGCACAGUCAGUAUCCUCGGGAGUUCGUGCACCAUCUCCUGCCCCAUCAUCAGUACCCUUAGGGUCAGAAAAGCCCAGCAAUGUGUCUCAGGACAGGAAAGUUCCAGUCCCUAUUGGGACUGAACGUUCUGCACGUAUCAGGCAAACUGGAACGUCAGCUCCAUCUGUUAUUGGGAGCAAUUUGUCUACAUCAGUAGGACAUAGUGGCAUCUGGUCCUUUGAAGGGAUUGGUGGCAAUCAAGACAAAGUAGACUGGUGUAACCCUGGGAUGGGAAAUCCUAUGAUCCACAGACCGAUGUCUGACCCAGGAGUAUUUUCACAACAUCAAGCAAUGGAGCGAGAUAGUACAGGAAUUGUAACUCCUUCUGGUACAUUCCAUCAGCAUGUUCCUGCAGGCUACAUGGACU